Molecule: ribosomal RNA, 911 nt
Filed under: Dasyscyphella montana
Lineage: Eukaryota; Fungi; Ascomycota; Leotiomycetes; Helotiales; Lachnaceae
Description: partial large subunit ribosomal RNA
Rfam family: Eukaryotic large subunit ribosomal RNA
Source: RNAcentral
ACUUAAGCAUAUCAAUAAGCGGAGGAAAAGAAACCAACAGGGAUUACCUUAGUAACGGCGAGUGAAGCGGUAACAGCUCAAAUUUGAAAUCUGGCUCUUUCAGGGUCCGAAUUGUAAUUUGUAGAAGAUGCUUUGGGUGUCGCUCCGGUCUAAGUUCCUUGGAACAGGACGUCAUAGAGGGUGAGAAUCCCGUAUGUGACUGGAUGCGUUCGCCCGUGUAAAGCUCUUUCGACGAGUCGAGUUGUUUGGGAAUGCAGCUCAAAAUGGGUGGUAAAUUUCAUCUAAAGCUAAAUAUUGGCCAGAGACCGAUAGCGCACAAGUAGAGUGAUCGAAAGAUGAAAAGCACUUUGGAAAGAGAGUUAAACAGUACGUGAAAUUGUUGAAAGGGAAGCGCUUGCAACCAGACUCGCCAUCCGUCGAUCAUCCGGGGUUCUCCCCGGUGCACUCGACGGGUUUCGGGCCAGCAUCGGUUUCGGUGGUGGGAUAAAGGCCUUGGGAAUGUAGCUUCUUUCGGGGAGUGUUAUAGCCCUCGGUGCAAUGCCGCCUACCGGGACCGAGGACCGCGCUUCGGCUAGGAUGCUGGCGUAAUGGUUGUAAGCGACCCGUCUUGAAACACGGACCAAGGAGUCUAACAUCUAUGCGAGUAUUUGGGUGUCAAACCCAUAUGCGGAAUGAAAGUGAACGGAGGUAAGAACCCUGAAGGGUGCAUUAUCGACCGAUCCUGAUGUCUUCGGAUGGAUUUGAGUAAGAGCAUAGCUGUUGGGACCCGAAAGAUGGUGAACUAUGCCUAAAUAGGGUGAAGCCAGAGGAAACUCUGGUGGAGGCUCGCAGCGGUUCUGACGUGCAAAUCGAUCGUCAAAUUUGGGUAUAGGGGGCGAAAGACUAAUCGAACCAUCUAGUAGCUGGUUCCU